Molecule: ribosomal RNA, 133 nt
Filed under: uncultured bacterium
Lineage: Bacteria
Description: partial 16S ribosomal RNA
Rfam family: Bacterial small subunit ribosomal RNA
Source: RNAcentral
GAGGAAUAUUGCGCAAUGGGGGAAACCCUGACGCAGCGACGCCGCGUGGAUGAUGAAGGCUUUCGGGUCGUAAAAUCCUGUCAGAUGGAAAGAAGUGCAUAUGCAUUAAUAGUGCAUAUGCUUGACGGUACCA